GGAAAAAAAUGUGAAAAAUAAGAGUCAACAAAAAAAAAAAAAAGGAUAUUUAUUUAUUGAUUUAUAAAUAAAUACCUUUUUUUGUUUUUUUUUUUGUUGGAUGUUUUUUUUUGUUGAUUUACUCUCUCUCUCUCAUUGGUGAUAUUAAGUAUUAGAAAUGAGAGAGUAUGGCGAGAUGAGAAAUGUUUUGACAUAACUGAUUAUAGAAAAAAGAAAAAUAAAUAAAU
RNAcentral lists this non-coding RNA (227 nucleotides) under Pteridomonas danica. Lineage: Eukaryota; Dictyochophyceae; Pedinellales. The record is from RNAcentral.